This 253-nucleotide ribosomal RNA is filed under the name uncultured bacterium. RNAcentral's name for it is "partial 16S ribosomal RNA". It matches the Rfam family "Bacterial small subunit ribosomal RNA", at positions 524 to 776 of the family's 1533-position model. The record is from RNAcentral.
UACAGAGGUGGCAAGCGUUGUUCGGAAUUACUGGGCGUAAAGGGCGCGUAGGCGGCCUUCUAAGUCAGACGUGAAAUCCCCCGGCUUAACCUGGGAACUGCGUCUGAUACUGGGAGGCUAGAGUAUGGGAGAGGGAUGUAGAAUUCCAGGUGUAGCGGUGAAAUGCGUAGAUAUCUGGAGGAAUACCGGUGGCGAAGGCGGCAUCCUGGACCAUUACUGACGCUGAGGCGCGAAGGCUAGGGGAGCAAACGGG